RNAcentral lists this ribosomal RNA (429 nucleotides) under uncultured bacterium. RNAcentral describes it as "bacterial SSU rRNA". It matches the Rfam family "Bacterial small subunit ribosomal RNA", at positions 355 to 776 of the family's 1533-position model. The record is from RNAcentral.
UGGGGAAUAUUGGACAAUGGGCGAAAGCCUGAUCCAGCCAUGCCGCGUGAGUGAUGAAGGCCUUCGGGUCGUAAAGCUCUGUGGGGAGGGACGAAAAGCAGGACGCUAAUACCGGCCUGAAUUGACGGUACCUCCUUAGCAAGCACCGGCUAACUCCGUGCCAGCAGCCGCGGUAAUACGGAGGGUGCAAACGUUGCUCGGAAUCAUUGGGCGUAAAGCGCGCGUAGGCGGUCUCUUAAGUCGGAAGUGAAAGCCCUGGGCUCAACCCAGGAAGUGCUUUCGAAACUGAGAGGCUUGAGUAUGGAAGAGGGUCGCGGAAUUCCCGGUGUAGAGGUGAAAUUCGUAGAUAUCGGGAGGAACACCAGUGGCGAAGGCGGCGACCUGGGCCAAUACUGACGCUGAGGUGCGAAAGCGUGGGGAGCAAACAGG